RNAcentral lists this long non-coding RNA (303 nucleotides) under Theobroma cacao (cacao). RNAcentral describes it as "long non-coding RNA (TCAC_LNC003458)". The record is from RNAcentral. Lineage: Eukaryota; Viridiplantae; Streptophyta; Magnoliopsida; Malvales; Malvaceae.
UUGAGUCUCAUGAAGGGUUCUUGGCUGCAAGGGAAAGGAAUAAACACAAGUUACAGAAGGGUGGGGGUAAUGAUACUGAAGGAGAAGAAGAAAUGGGAGAAGAGGAGAAGGGUGAACUCAAAAAUGAAGAAGAAGAUGAUGAUGAUGAUGAGGGCAAAGAACACAAAAAUGAAGAUGAAGAAGAUGAUGAAGAAAGGAAGGAAGAGGAGAUUGAGGAAGGUAAGCGGAAAAGGAAGCGUAAAUUGUCUAUUGUUCAGAAAGCUUUACAGGAAAUGUGGGAGGAAUUUUAUAAUUUGGACUAUG